This 449-nucleotide ribosomal RNA is filed under the name uncultured bacterium. RNAcentral's name for it is "partial 16S ribosomal RNA". It matches the Rfam family "Bacterial small subunit ribosomal RNA", at positions 29 to 523 of the family's 1533-position model. The record is from RNAcentral.
AACGAACGCUGGCGGCAUGCCUAACACAUGCAAGUCGAACGAGACCUUCGGGUCUAGUGGCGCACGGGUGCGUAACGCGUGGGAAUCUACCCUUUGGUUCGGAAUAACAGUGAGAAAUUACUGCUAAUACCGGAUGAUGACGUAAUUCCAAAGAUUUAUCGCCCAAGGAUGAGCCCGCGUAGGAUUAGCUAGUUGGUAGGGUAAAGGCCUACCAAGGCGACGAUCCUUAGCUGGUCUGAGAAGAUGAUCAGCCACACUGGCACUGAGACACGGCCCAGACUCCUACGGGAGGCAGCAGUGGGGAAUAUUGGACAAUGGGGGAAAAUCUGAUCGAGCGACGCCGCGUGGAGGAAGACGUACUUCGGUAUGUAAACUCCUUUUGUAGACUAGUAAAUUUUGAACAGUCUAAGAAUAAGAGGUUGCUAAACUCGUGCCAGCAGCCGCGGUAA